GGGGAUUCUUCUCUAAUCUUUCAGAAACUUUGUCUGCGAACACUCUUUAAUGGACCAGAUCAGGAUUUGAGCGGAAGAACGAAUGUAACUUUCUUAAGAGGCAUUUCAUCCUUCAUGAAGCUGUUCAGGAUUUUGAAUUGCAUAUGGGUGCUUGGCUCUCCUUCUGUUCUCCUAACUUCACAGAGAAUGCAGUUGUCUUGACUUCAGAUGCAACCUUAAAAUCAGUGACAAGAAACAAAAU
This 241-nucleotide long non-coding RNA is filed under the name Pongo abelii (Sumatran orangutan). RNAcentral describes it as "lincRNA". Lineage: Eukaryota; Metazoa; Chordata; Mammalia; Primates; Hominidae. The record is from RNAcentral.